GUCAUUAUCGAGCUUUGUCAAGCUAUCAACGAGCUCGGAGUCUGAACUCUGAACUCAGGCAGGCGAAAUUGAACUGACUUUCCCUCUUUUCUUUCUUUCUUUCUUUCUCCCACCUCUCCUCGCGCCGCCGCCGGCAACUAGGCUCUGACGGCACCUUCUCUCUCAGUUCUCCUCCUUCUCAUCCGCUCUACAGGACUGGCUUGGGGUGGAGGUUUGCCUUUGCCCGGCCCCGGGCUCGGAUUGAUCUGGUUACGGACCCUACUUCUUUUCUUCGCUGUGAGCACUGUGUUCCCAAUCUCUCCUUCCGGGACUGAUACCCCAAUCUAGGGCACCCCUGAGUACCUGACCACCCCAAGCCUCUUACAUCGAUUCCCCGCUGUCUUCACCCGGUCCGUGAUCUUGGAUAUUGGCUGAGGGAAGUGUGUGUGGUACUUUUAUGGUUGGCCAAAUGCAGAUAUCUUGGCCAUCCACGAUUGUAGAGCUCAUCUUGGGCCUGCUAUGGCACCUUGUCCACCUGUUGGUCAGCCUCUUUGAUUUGUGGUCGCAUCUGAGUGAUAAUCUAGAAUGCUAUCUUAUUUCGUCUGAGUUGCUGCCCAAGUACCGAGAUCUUCAUUUUGAGAGACUUAAUUACGUGGGCGUUGUAGUAGAUAGCAGAGAAGCAAAUGAUGUUUUGAAGAUCAAGCAACUUUUACGGUGGUUAUCAACUAUCGGCGUUAAGUAUGUAGUUCUCUAUGAUAUUGAAGGUGUGCUUAUGAACAUUUGCUUUACAUGCUUACUUGUUUGAGUACACAUGAUCUUAUU
This is a long non-coding RNA of Triticum aestivum (bread wheat), 801 nucleotides long. RefSeq lists it as uncharacterized. NCBI's taxonomy places the organism in Eukaryota, Viridiplantae, Streptophyta, Magnoliopsida, Poales, Poaceae. The transcript is spliced from 2 exons. The record is from RefSeq and is a predicted model, not a curated record.